UACGGAGGGAGCUAGCGUUGUUCGGAAUUACUGGGCGUAAAGCGCGCGUAGGCGGCUUUGUAAGUUAGAGGUGAAAGCCCGGAGCUCAACUCCGGAAUUGCCUUUAAGACUGCAUCGCUUGAAUCCGGGAGAGGUGAGUGGAAUUCCGAGUGUAGAGGUGAAAUUCGUAGAUAUUCGGAAGAACACCAGUGGCGAAGGCGGCUCACUGGACCGGUAUUGACGCUGAGGUGCGAAAUCGUGGGGAGCAAACAGG
This 253-nucleotide ribosomal RNA is filed under the name uncultured bacterium. Its description in RNAcentral is "partial 16S ribosomal RNA". It matches the Rfam family "Bacterial small subunit ribosomal RNA", at positions 524 to 776 of the family's 1533-position model. The record is from RNAcentral.